AUUGAACGCUGGUGGCAGGCUUAACACAUGCAAGUCGAGCGGGGUGAUGGUGCUUGCACUAUCACUUAGCGGCGGACGGGUGAGUAAUGCUUAGGAAUCUGCCUAUUAGUGGGGGGCAACAUCUCGAAAGGGAUGCUAAUACCGCAUACGUCCUACGGGAGAAAGCAGGGGAUCACUUGUGACCUUGCGCUAAUAGAUGAGCCUAAGUCGGAUUAGCUAGUUGGUGGGGUAAAGGCCUACCAAGGCGACGAUCUGUAGCGGGUCUGAGAGGAUGAUCCGCCACACUGGGACUGAGACACGGCCCAGACUCCUACGGGAGGCAGCAGUGGGGAAUAUUGGACAAUGGGGGGAACCCUGAUCCAGCCAUGCCGCGUGUGUGAAGAAGGCCUUAUGGUUGUAAAGCACUUUAAGCGAGGAGGAGGCUCUUUUGGUUAAUACCCAAGAUGAGUGGACGUUACUCGCAGAAUAAGCACCGGCUAACUCUGUGCCAGCAGCCGCGGUAA
RNAcentral lists this ribosomal RNA (503 nucleotides) under uncultured bacterium. RNAcentral's name for it is "partial 16S ribosomal RNA". It matches the Rfam family "Bacterial small subunit ribosomal RNA", at positions 30 to 523 of the family's 1533-position model. The record is from RNAcentral.